Molecule: non-coding RNA, 215 nt
Filed under: uncultured Clostridium sp.
Lineage: Bacteria; Bacillati; Bacillota; Clostridia; Eubacteriales; Clostridiaceae
Source: RNAcentral
AACUUUUUGUGUAGAGAUGUGGAAUGAUAGGGUAACGCCUUGAAACGCACCACUAAUACUCCUUACGGUGUCUUACCUGUUGUAGAAGGUAAGGAAUUGGUAGCAAGGUGAAGAGCUGGGGACAGCAGACCGAAAGAAUAUUUGAAGAACUUUAAAUAUUACUCGAAACCGACUCAGAGGUGAGUUGUGUCUGUGAUACCUAUGGUGUCUAUAAA